GGGAGUUUGGUCUAGUGGUAUGAUUCUCGCUUUGGGUGCGAGAGGCCGCGGGUUCGAUUCCAGCAAUUCCCC
This 72-nucleotide transfer RNA is filed under the name Pleodorina starrii. RNAcentral describes it as "tRNA-Pro". It matches the Rfam family "tRNA". Rfam says of the family: Transfer RNA (tRNA) molecules are approximately 80 nucleotides in length. Their secondary structure includes four short double-helical elements and three loops (D, anti-codon, and T loops). The record is from RNAcentral. Lineage: Eukaryota; Viridiplantae; Chlorophyta; Chlorophyceae; Chlamydomonadales; Volvocaceae.